GUACUGCUGAAGAGUCCCACAAUAGGACGAAAUUGCCAUUCAGUAC
RNAcentral lists this non-coding RNA (46 nucleotides) under Schistosoma margrebowiei. Lineage: Eukaryota; Metazoa; Platyhelminthes; Trematoda; Strigeidida; Schistosomatidae. The record is from RNAcentral.